UGAAAAAUUACAUUUCAGUUUCUAGUUUAGAGCUCUGUCUGUGAUUUAUACUUCAUUUAUUUUACAACAAAACAUGAUUUUAUAAUUGUCUCGACGAGCAGCUUAACAUGGAUUUACUAGUUUAGAUAACCCAGAUCAAGCUCUCAACUGAUGGGAUGCAGGAUCAGAUAUUCACCGGCUCCCUCUCGAGGAGUAUCUGGACAGUGAGAUGACUUCUGUUGGAAUGGAUCUACAACGAUGACUUUUUGUAGAGCUCAACUCCAGUCCCGGGACCCACAGUGCUGCACAUUUUGUUUGUCUCUCUAAUCCGACAGAUUGUUUAAACAUUAAACAAGGGAGACAAACCGAGUAAAAUAUGGACCAGAAUCAAGAAAUACAGGUUUGCAGGCAAACAGAAUCAUAGGAGAAGGUCCACCCAUGAGGAUGAGUGUCUUCUGGAGGUGGAGGAAGGGGGUUCUUAACUGCUGUUUAUGGGUCUGUCCCAAUACACACACUUGUGGUCUAGGCCACUUUAAGCUCAUUGUCCUUCAUGGACACUAUAUUCACAUCUCUAACACUGCAUCAGGGCAGUAUUUAAGGUUAAGCAUAACCCAUCAAAAUCAAGAGAAGAAAAACAGUGUGUGUAAAAUUAUUUUUAUAUUUAUAUUUAAUUUGGUAG
Long non-coding RNA from Cyprinus carpio carpio, 658 nucleotides. Lineage: Eukaryota; Metazoa; Chordata; Actinopteri; Cypriniformes; Cyprinidae. The record is from Ensembl.